CGCUACAUGUUAGUUCCAGUAGUAGAGUGAUGUAGCAUGUUGUGCUAACAUGGCUGUUCUCUCUUUUAGCGGACAGGGUUAGCACAGAUAGCACCAGCGCUAGCCAGCGGGACAGCUCAGGGUCGCGGGGCACGCUGCCGUCCAGUGAGCGGCUCCGACCUCUGGGGGCGUCGGUCGAGGACGUCGGCGAGGGCGGAGCAAGGGUCUCCACGGGAACCAAGGAGCAAGAAGGAGGAGGGGAGAGGCCCGUGCACAUCACCAUCCAUUCUCAACAGGGAGUGGGCGGAGCCAGAGACGCCUACCGUAGUCUGCCGCCAAUCAUAUCUAUCACAGAGAGGUCAACUCUGAGGUCUGCUGUACAGUAUAAGUGAUGAGUACUGUACGGUACAAUGCUGAAGACCAUGUUGUGUUCACUAGGUUGUACACAAGGUGACAAGGUAAUGUGUGGUCUUCUUUAUUUAUGUCUUUGGCUUUGAGGGCUGAGAGUUUUUUUUACUUUUAUGUGUGACAAAGCAAUGAAAUGAUUAAUCUUUUGGAUUCAAUUGAAGACGUUGUUUCGUUACUAUUGAAGUUAUUAAUCAUGGAAAGUGUUGCGCUGUGAAGAUGAAGUUUAAAUGUGAUUCUCGGCAGGACGUUCUGCUGUAUUUCUACUGCUCCAUAUUAAUGUACAUAUUGUUACUGGUUACUGGUACUGGUUUUGUUACAUCGGUUUCUCUGCGAUCCCGGACACUGAAGGGUUAAACGUACCAGUUGGACUCGUGAUACUUGAGCUCAUUUUUACAUUGACUGCAUUUUUUAUGCGUGUGUUUCAUAAUUCAUUUUGUAUGGUUGAUGAGGAGAGACAAUCCUUGUACUGCUAGUUUGUGCCUUGCAGAGCUGGAAUUGCACUUAACUAGUUGAACUAGUGUGUGAACUAGUUGUACUAGUCUGUGAAAACCUGGAGGUAACAGAGUUUGGAUUUGUUAGUCUAGGUUAGUCUUACCCUGACCUGCAGCACAAUGGUCAAAUAAAACUCUUUCAUCACAUGAGCUUUGUGUGUUUGUACGAGUUUGGUUCUCUAAAGAGAUGAAGAUAG
Long non-coding RNA from Gadus morhua (Atlantic cod), 1075 nucleotides. The record is from Ensembl. Lineage: Eukaryota; Metazoa; Chordata; Actinopteri; Gadiformes; Gadidae.